This 461-nucleotide ribosomal RNA is filed under the name uncultured bacterium. Its description in RNAcentral is "bacterial SSU rRNA". It matches the Rfam family "Bacterial small subunit ribosomal RNA", at positions 29 to 507 of the family's 1533-position model. The record is from RNAcentral.
AAUGAACGUUGGCGGCGUGGAUUAGGCAUGCAAGUCGAGCGCUCAUAGCAAUAUGGGAGCGGCGAACGGCGUAGUAAUAUGUAGGAACGUACCCUCGGGUCGGGGAUAGCCAUGGGAAACUGUGGGUAAUACCCGAUAAUCUCUGCGGAGCAAAGGUGUGAUUCCGCCUGAGGAGCGGCCUACACGAUAUUAGCUAGUUGGUAGGGUAAUGGCCUACCAAGGCUACGAUGUCUAGGGGGUGUGAGAGCAUGGCCCCCCACGACCGGAACUGAGAUACUGUCCGGACACCUACGGGUGGCUGCAGUCGAGAAUCUUCCGCAAUGGACGAAAGUCUGACGGAGCGACGCCGCGUGCGGGAUGAAGGCCCUUGGGUUGUAAACCGCUGUCAGAGGGGAUGAAAUCUUCGGAGGUGCUCCUCCAAAGUUGACAGAGCCUCAAAGGAAGCACGGGCUAAGUACGUG